Molecule: ribosomal RNA, 494 nt
Filed under: uncultured bacterium
Lineage: Bacteria
Description: partial 16S ribosomal RNA
Rfam family: Bacterial small subunit ribosomal RNA
Source: RNAcentral
GACGAACGCUGGCGGCGCGCUUAACACAUGCAAGUCGAACGGAAAGGCCUGCUUUCCCUUGUGGAUUGCGGGUACUCGAGUGGCUAACGGGUGAGUAACACGUGAGUGAUCUGCCCCCAACUUGGGUAUAAGCCUGGGAAACUGGGUCUAAUUCCCGAUAGGACUGCAGGGUGGUGCCUGUGGUGGAAAACGAUUUUCUAGUGUUUGGGGAUGAGCUCGCGGCCUAUCAGCUUGUUGGUGGGGUAAUGGCCUACCAAGGCGGCGACGGGUAGCCGGCCUGAGAGGGUGGACGGCCACAUUGGGACUGAGAUACGGCCCAGACUCCUACGGGAGGCAGCAGUGGGGAAUAUUGCACAAUGGGCGGAAGCCUGAUGCAGCGACGCCGCGUGGGGGAUGACGGCCUUCGGGUUGUAAACUCCUUUCGACCGCGAGGAAGCCACCUGGUUGGAAGGGUGGUGACGGUAGUGGUAGAAGAAGCACCGGCUAACUACGUG